CAGCAGCCACGGGAAUACGUAGGUGGCAAGCGUUGUCCGGAAUUAUUGGGCGUAAAGCGCGCGCAGGCGGUUUCUUAAGUCUGAUGUGAAAGCCCCCGGCUUAACCGGGGAGGGUCAUUGGAAACUGGGAGACUUAGAGUGCAGAAGAGGAGAGUGGAAUUCCAUGUGUAGCGGUGAAAUGCGUAGAUAUAUGGAGGAACACCAGUGGCGAAGGCGACUCUCUGGUCUGUAACUGACGCUGAGGCGCGAAAGCGUGGGGAGCAAACAGGAUUAGAUACCCCCGUAGUCCCUGUCUCUUAUU
This 301-nucleotide ribosomal RNA is filed under the name uncultured bacterium. RNAcentral describes it as "partial 16S ribosomal RNA". It matches the Rfam family "Bacterial small subunit ribosomal RNA", at positions 509 to 808 of the family's 1533-position model. The record is from RNAcentral.